Molecule: transfer RNA, 74 nt
Filed under: Dipodomys ordii (Ord's kangaroo rat)
Lineage: Eukaryota; Metazoa; Chordata; Mammalia; Rodentia; Heteromyidae
Rfam family: tRNA
About the family: Transfer RNA (tRNA) molecules are approximately 80 nucleotides in length. Their secondary structure includes four short double-helical elements and three loops (D, anti-codon, and T loops).
Source: Rfam by way of RNAcentral
GGGAAGGUGGCUCAGUGGUAGAGCAUUCGCCUUUCAUGCCAAAGAGAAGAGACAGAAAUUAGACAAUCUUGCCA